UGGGGAAUCUUGCGCAAUGGGCGAAAGCCUGACGCAGCGACGCCGCGUGGGCGAAGAAGGCCUUCGGGUUGUAAAGCCCUGUGGGGGAGAACGAACCGUACGGGGGCGAAUACCCUCCGUGCCUGACGGUACUCCUUUAGCAAGCAUCGGCUAACUCUGUGCCAGCAGCCGCGGUAAGACAGAGGAUGCAAACGUUGCUCGGAAUUACUGGGCGUAAAGCGCGUGUAGGCGGUCUGGUAAGUCGGACGUG
RNAcentral lists this ribosomal RNA (250 nucleotides) under uncultured bacterium. Its description in RNAcentral is "partial 16S ribosomal RNA". It matches the Rfam family "Bacterial small subunit ribosomal RNA", at positions 355 to 596 of the family's 1533-position model. The record is from RNAcentral.